Etheostoma spectabile (orangethroat darter) is the source of this 164-nucleotide long non-coding RNA. RefSeq lists it as uncharacterized. Lineage: Eukaryota; Metazoa; Chordata; Actinopteri; Perciformes; Percidae. The record is from RefSeq and is a predicted model, not a curated record. The transcript is spliced from 3 exons.
AAAAGUUGACACUGACCAGAUCCCGUCUAUGGAGAGCCUGUUCACUCCCUAUUUAGCCCCAUUGUACCGAAUUUGGUUGCAGUUCCAGCAGAGUUCUACUGGGGGUGAUCGCAGGCGAGUGCAAAAUGAAUGGGACCCUAUGGUGAUUGAUGGCUUAAUGAAUG